RNAcentral lists this long non-coding RNA (4123 nucleotides) under Homo sapiens (human). Its description in RNAcentral is "non-protein coding LINC01678:12". Lineage: Eukaryota; Metazoa; Chordata; Mammalia; Primates; Hominidae. The record is from RNAcentral.
UUCAAAUCGGGGGCAUUGGGGCUGAGCCCGAAGCAGGAGGGCAGCAAGGGUCCUGACAUUGUGGACUUGGCCAGGGAGGGGCCAGUCCCUCUCAGCCACCCACAGCUACCUGUCCCGAGAGUGUGAGGAUUCGGGUCUUUGGUGGGCUCUGGGGAAGGGGCUGCAAGGAAGCGGGCCCAGAACCUGGUGCUGAGGCCCAGGACCCAUGCAGGGACGUGGGGCAGGACAGAGAGGGGCAGGGCAGGGGCAGGGACAGGGGCAGGGAUGCGGGAUAGGACAGGGGUACGGACAGGGAUGGGGCAGGGACGCAGGGCAGGACAGGGGCAGGGACGGGGCGGGACACGGGACAGGACAGGCGCAGGGGCAGGGCAGGGAUGCAGGGCAGGACAGGGAUGAGGGCAGGGACGUGGGGCAGGGACAGGGACGUGGGGCAGGGACAGGGACAUGGGGCAAGACAGGGACGGGGCAGGGACGUGGGGCAGGGCAGGGAGAGGGGCAGGGACGUGGGGCAGGACAGAGAGGGGCAGGGCAGGGGCAGGGACAGGGGCAGGGACACGGACAGGGCAGGGAUGCGGGGCAAGACAGGGAGGGGGCAGGGAUACGAGGCAGGACAAGGAGGGGGCAGGGACUCAGGGCAGGACAGGGCAGGGGCAGAGGCAGGACAGGGACGGUGCAGCCUCCGCUGCUGCCCUCUCGGGGAGCCUGGCUCCCACCCUCACCCAGCCACUGCUCCUGGGCACAGAGCUGAAGGGGAACUGGAGGCUGCGGCGUUCCUCUCUCCGUUCCCCUCUCUCUGGUGACUCGUGAUAACGAACCGACCUUUUGGAGACAUUCUGUGCCCUCAACAAAAGCGGCCCCUGUCUGGAAACCCCCCCGAGGGAGACUGACUUCCUCCCCUGCUGCCUGGGCUGCGGUAGCUCUUCCGGCACCUGCUCUUCAGGCACCUGCCCUGUGCUGGCCCCUCCUGCAACAAUCGGGUAAGGGGACCCAGGACCACAGGGAGGCUCCAGGGAGCCCCGUGGGUGCCUCCAGCAGCCGUCGGGGGUCUCUGUCCCUCACACCUCAUCUGUGAGGGUCCCUUGGCAAGGCAGCCCCUCCCGCUUGCCCAGGGUGGCAGGCCGGCUGCCCGCAUGCAGAGGCUGCUGGGAGGGUCCCCUCAUGCUCUCCCCUCCCCGUCCCCUGCCUACCCAGCCAGGGCUCUCGCUCCCAGCAGCCAACGGUACAGCCCGCCUCGGUCUCUGGGGUGCUAGAUACACUCUGCCUGGAGCCCAGGUACUGGAACCUCUGUGCCUGGGCCAUGGGGGGCAGGUUAAGGGAGGCCCUGCCCCUGGAGCGCAGGUACUGGAACCUCUGUGCCAGGGCCAUAGGGGGUGGGUUAAGGGAGGCCCUGCCCUGCCCCUCACCUGUCCCCUCAUCUGCACAUCCCUCCUUCGUGUCACCUGCACAGGAGCCCUCACCUCAGUCGGCGCUGCAGAACCAGCCCAGGAGAGCAGCUGGCCUGUCAUCUGCUGAGGAGCGGAGGCGUGCGGGGAUCCGGAGGGGAAGGGGGUCUGGAGUGCUCCGGGGGAGACCCUCAGGGACUGCCCUGCUGCUGGCAGCGCCUGGGCCCACGGCUGAUGGAGGCGUCUCCUGGCCCCCAGGGCUGUGCCCAGGACUGCAAUGGCCUCCCACACUACCUCACUACCCUGGUCCAGGCUCACUGACAGAUGAGGAAACUGAGGCAGGGGCCCCGGUCUCACGGCCAUUGGUGCAGAGCUGGGAUCCACGACCAGAUUCUACCAAUUAAAAAAAGGAAAUGUGGGCCGGGCGUGGUGGCUCAUGCCUGUGAUCCCAGCACUUUGGGAGGCCGAGGCAGGUGGAUCACCCAAGGUCAGGAGUUCAAGAGCAGCCUGGCCAACAGGGUGAAAUCCCAUCUCUCCUAAAAAAACAAAACAAAACAAAACAAAACAAAACAAAAACAGAAUUAGCCGGGCAUGGUGGUGGGCACCUGUAGUCCCAGCUACUGGGGAGGCUGAGGCAGAAGAAUCACAUAAACCCAGGAGGCCGGAGGUUCCAACGAACUAGGAUCGCACCACUGCACUCCAGCCUGGGCAACAAAGUGAGACUCUGUCUCAAAAAAAAAAAAAAAAAGAAAAAAAAAGGAAAAGAGAAAGAAAAAGAAAAAAAGUGACAAUUCACAUAGACCCCUGAAAACCUCUGGGCUUAGGGACAGCAAGAGCCUUCCUGGGGCCUCCUGGACCAUGUCAGGGCCUCCGAGGCCUCUGGGACGCCAUCCCUGCUCAGCUUCCUCACUCUCCUUUUGCCCGAGAACAAGCUCUGUUCUGGCCACGGCGUUGUCUACACAACACAGCUAACUGCUUUGCCAUCAGCCCUCAUACAGAUUUAAAACACACACACACACACACACAAAAGAUAAGGUUAUGGGCUGCACUGCGUCCCCCAAAUUCACAGAGUGAAGUCCCGACUUCAGGAUCCGCCUGUAUUCAGACACAGGGUCUUUACAGAGGCGACAAAGGUGAAACAAGGUUACCAGGGUGGGCUCUGACCUGACCUACCGGCGUCCUUAAAAGAGGAGGACACAGACACGCAGGAGGGGCGGCCACGCAAGGACACAGGGAGGUGGUGCCGCCUGCCUGCAAGGAGAGGCCUCGUAACAGCCACGCCGCACCUCAACCCGGGACGCCCCCAGGACUGGAGAGAACCCACAUCUGCUGUGGGAGCACCUGGCCACGGUGUGUGCGAGGCGGCCCCGGCAAACUCACGUAGACAGGACCCAGCUCCCCCAGGCCAUCUUUCAAUGGGAGAGGGUGACCCAGUGUUUUCCCAAAACCCAGCACGGUCCCCAGGACGCGUUCCCCACCAGGGUGGGCUGGGCCGGAUCACAGCCCAGGCUCCCAGAGACUUCCGGUGCCACAUCAGCUCACAGAGCUUCCUGUUUCAGCCCAGAUCAGAAACACCAUGAGACGCCCAAGGAGGAAUAUUUUAAUACUUCUGCUAUUGGCCUCACCCAAAACCAGAAAGUGCAGGGAGUCGUGAAAAUGAAGAAAAUGAUCAGAACCUGAGGGACCAGGCCGUGCCAUCCGAAGACAAUCCUGAGAUCUCUCUCCGGGCCCUGCCCUGCCCCUCCCUCUCUGCCCCCAGCAGGAGCCCCCUUUUCCCCUGGGGCCAAGAACCCAGGCCACACAGGGUGCAGAAGACCCGCCAGGGAGGCCACAGCAGGGGACAGAAAAGAAGGCCCGUCGCUGGCAUGAGGGGUGGCUUCCAUGUGGGGAAACUGAGUCAGUAGCAAUUCCAGAUUGGAGGUCCUAACCAGGUCAGGUAUGCGGGCACCGCACCGUCAGCCAAGACCACAGCCCCACCUCCUCAACAGCUGGGCCCACGCCAUCGGGGGGGCGUUCCAAGAGACUUAAAAAAACCAUAACCCAACCCCGAGGAGGUGCCCUCUGAGGUGGGGUGUCCCAUACUAGAGUCAGGGUGACCUGAGGACAGGCCAGGCACACAGGGCCACCCUGAGUAAAGACGGGGGACCCAGGAGGGCCUGGGACUAGCCAGGAUGGUGGCUGCUGUGUUGAGAGGGCAUCUGGGACCCCAACCCGCAGCCCCUCGUCUCCUUAUGAGCCAUGGGGCCUCAGGAAAUGCACCCCAUUUCGUGCCUCAGUUUCCCUCCUGGGCUGAACUGUGUCCCCCACAGCCAUGUGUUGAGGUCCUGACCCCAGACCUGUGAGUGUGACCUUAUUUGGAGGCAGGGUCUGCACAGAGGUAACGAGGUUAAAGCAAGGUCAGCUGGGUGGGCCCUGACCCACCCAGACACACAGAGAGAGAACAGGCCACAUGACACGGGGCCGAGGCCGUGGCAGUGCUUCCGCCAGCCAAGAAGCACGGAAGACCUCAGGCCACAAAGCCAGGAGCGGCCUGGGACAGACCCCACUCACGGCCUCGGGGGCCAGCCCUGCUCACACCUUGACCUUGGACUUCUGGCACCAUAACUGUGGGAGGGUGAAUCUCUGGUGGUUUGGGGGCGUGGGGUGAAUCUCUGCUGGUUUGGGGGCGUGGGGUGAAUCUCUGCUGGUUUGGGGGCGUGGGGUGAAUCUCUGCUGGUUUGGGGGCGUGGGGUGAAUCUCUG